Molecule: long non-coding RNA, 3187 nt
Organism: Mytilus trossulus (common blue mussel)
Lineage: Eukaryota; Metazoa; Mollusca; Bivalvia; Mytilida; Mytilidae
Exons: 9
Source: RefSeq, a predicted model, not a curated record
ACGGCAUUGCAUGGAAAUCACCUACGCUAAAUAUAGAGAUGAAGGUGUGGUUCUAGAACAGUCAUCUAGUCACUGGCAGUAUGGUUGGCAUUUGAAAGGGCAAUGAAUGCUUUUUGGUGUGUUUUUUGCUCAACAUGUUUACUUGGUCACUGUAUAGUAUGUCUUCCUACCAGUUGUGGUGAUGGAUAUAUACAAAGAUAUUUUUGGACAGAACAGACAGAAAGUCACUAUAUUUGCUGCAGAAUUCUGACAGAGAAUUGCCAACAAGGAUACAGAGUAAAAACAUGCAAAGAAAAUUUCAGACAAGAUUCCUGUGAAGAAUGUCCUAAAGGACAGUAUUUAGCAGAUCGAACAAAUUCAACGAAUAUACACGCUUGUGUUCAUUACAGUUGCUCAUUAGAAUCAAGACAAGUAGACUACUUAACACAGACAGGAUGUCAUAAACCUUGUAUAUGUAAUACAGACCUAAACUUUUAUGGUUUUGAUAGUUGUAAUUGUUUGCCAUUUAAUGGUAAAUGUAUACCUGGAACAGUAUUAGCUCUAAAUGGAUCCUGUCUUACAGCUGAGGAAGCUGUAGCCGUCGAAAGUUUAACAAAAUCUGAUAUUUCAGUGCAUAUUCCUAUACCUAUAGAGGAAACUACAGCAGGCAAUAAAACAGAUGAUAACAUAUAAAAUGAUGGCAGUUUAAAUUACGAGAGGUGGAUUAUAACAGGUUGUAGUUUAGGAGCUUUGGUUGUAAUAUUGGUUAUAGUUUGUUGUAUCUGUCAAUACAAAAGAAGUCGUCAUAAAGAUUCAAGUUUUAUAGGAGAUCAAACUAUUCAUAUUAAAGUAGAUAAAAUAGAAACUAAUGAACAAGAAGAUAAUAUUACAGAACACCGUCCAGUGAUUAAAAAGUCUUCCAUUGCAACAAUAUCAUCCGAUUCAGGAGUUUCUUCUGCUCAAACAAACUCCAAAGAAUCUGUAAGCACAGAUUCUGAUAGGUCUUCCAGAAAAGUGGCAGCAAUACACCCAUAUCACCAUAGUGAAGAUAAAGAAUUAAACAUUCAUUUACUCGAUGAACGGAAUCACAGAUUGUCUUCCUCAUCAGAUGCUAUUUUGUUAAACAGACCUCAAUUUGAUCUCGACCAUGCUGAUACAACUCAGGAUUAUUUUGAACCUCAAACUCCACUCCAUCAUAGUUUCCCAACUCUAUUCACCAACUCAGAAGGCAACUUGACACAAAUAGAGUCUUAAUGAUCAAUUAAGCUUGUGGAUUUAAAAAAAAAAAAGAAACACAAGUAAUCAAAAUGUCAAUUUUAAAUGUUUUUUUUUAUACUGACUGUAUAACAUCUGUAUUGUUAUGUUUUAAGUGUUAAAGGGCCAUAUUAGCAACGAGAUAGAAAACAAAGAUUAAGAUAUGAUUUUAUUAUUUUACAAUCAGUAAUAAAAAAGAAAUAAUGAUUUGCUUUAAGCAGCAAAUGAGUUAAUGAGUCAACAAAGGUCAUAGCGUGCUCUAAAUUUGACUCAAACUUAAGUUUAUUACCAAAUUUUUGUUAAAAUUUUACCUCACAUGACCAAGGUAAAGAAGAAGUUUGAAAAUUAAUGCCAAAAAGAAACAAUAGUCACAUUAGACAAGCUAUUUAUGUUAUAAAAGUAUGAUGGAAUGAGAAUAUUUUGAACAUUUCUUAACUUCCCUUGUUUUGUAUACAAAAGUGUAAGACAAACUAACUUUAGUAAGUAAUUACUUUAUAUUCCAUGGGAUCAUGUUGAUAUUAAGAAAGCUUCUCUACGAUUUACUCUUGCAAUAUGUUUGAACAUGAUUGUAAAAAAAAAUGUUGAAAAUGAAUACUAGUAGUAGUUUGUAUUCUAUCCUUUAGUGGGAAGUUUCACAAAAAAUCUUAAUGAGAAAAACAUCUUGUAAGUCAUUAUCAUUAUUAUCCUUUUCAGUUUAAUUUAAAACAAUCAUUAUUUAUGAAAGAUUUUUUGUAAAAAGAAAAGGUUUUACACUAGUAAUUGUGGGGUUGAUAGCUUAUUGUUCGGUGUGAGCCAAGGCUUCAUGUUGAAGGCCAUACCUUGACCUAUAAUGGUUUACUUUUUUCAAAAUUGUUUUUUGGAUGAAGAGUUGUCUCAUUGGCACUCACACCACAUCUUCCUAUCUACUUAGCUUUUGACAGUUUUAUGCAACUUCUUAAAAAUUUCAAUUUCUAACAACUAAAACUAUAGAGUUGAAAAAAGCAUUAAGAUCUUGUCUUUCUGGGGUACAUUAUACUUUUAUACUCAAACAUCCAUAAUCCUGAUAAUUAAAAGGUGCUUUCAAAUUGGUAGCUUUUAAUAUAUAAUUCAUGGAGUUUUAAUAUGAUGUUUGUUUUUAACAUUUGUAAAUUUAUAGGGUAAAUAUUGUUUAUAUUUAUGUAUAUAAUUGUAAAUAUUGAUAUCUGAAUGCUGUCAAAUGAGUCAUAGAAACUUUUUAAGCUGCUGUUCUCAAAAGGGCACUGUGAAACAAUCUCUGGCGCAGAGUUCAUAUCUGUUCCAUACAUGCUCUGCAAUACUACACUACAUAUAUUCAGAUUCAAAUAAUUCCUUGUUUUUACAUCAUCCUGUUUGUUUGGCUCUGUUGGCUACUUUUUUUACAUUAAGGUAACAUUUUAAAACCGGUUGGCUAUUGCAAAAUGACUAUAAAAUUUCUUAACAAUAAUAAGUUCCUCUGCUUAAAUUUAGAUUUUGAGAUCUUUCAGCUGUGUAUAUUGUAUAUAUAUUUUUAUUUUAAACUAUUAUUUUCUCAGAAAGAUAUUCCAUUUAACUUAUUGUGAAUGAAAUUGAUGCAUAUAUUUUAUAAGAGCCUUUUAUAGUAUUGUUAAGAUUUACAUAAUGUCUUUCAUUCAUAUUAGAGUGGUUGGUGCUUGCACAAAGUCAGUGCAUGAGUCUUUCAUUAUUCUAUUGAUCUGUAUUGUUGUUAUUUAUCUUUAUCACUUAUUUACUAGGUGUUCACUUAUAACUCUUAUAGUAUUGUUAAAUUUACAGGUUGACAUUUCAUAAUUAACAUAGCAGUCAAAUUUAAAUAUAAAUAAAUAUAAGUAAGAAAAAAAUAUUUAAGGGGGCAUAAAUCAUUUUUUUUUUUGUAAUAUAGGAUUUUGCUAUAAAUAAACUUUAUCAUAUACUUAAUAGAAAAAUGAAAUACAGAAAUGGGGUCACCAUUCAUUUAAGCUCA